This 274-nucleotide ribosomal RNA is filed under the name uncultured bacterium. RNAcentral's name for it is "partial 16S ribosomal RNA". It matches the Rfam family "Bacterial small subunit ribosomal RNA", at positions 524 to 796 of the family's 1533-position model. The record is from RNAcentral.
UACGGAGGGGGUUAGCGUUGUUCGGAAUUACUGGGCGUAAAGCGCACGUAGGCGGAUCAGAAAGUUGGGGGUGAAAUCCCGGGCUCAACCCGGAACCUGCCUCCAAAACUCCUGGUCUUGAGUUCGAGAGAGGUGAGUGGAAUUCCGAGUGUAGAGGGUGAAAUUCGUAGAUAUUCGGAGGAACACCAGUGGCGAAGGCGGCUCACUGGCUCGAUCACUGACGCUGAGGUGCGAAAGUGUGGGGAGCAAACAGGAUUAGAUACCCCGUACGUCC